CGUAGGGGGCGAGCGUUGUCCGGAUUUAUUGGGCGUAAAGAGCUCGUAGGCGGUUCGGCAAGUCGGGUGUGAAAUUUCGAGGCUCAACCUCGAAACGCCACUUGAUACUGCCAUGACUGGAGUCCGGUAGAGGAGUGUGGAAUUCCUGGUGUAGCGGUGAAAUGCGCAGAUAUCAGGAGGAACACCAACGGCGAAGGCAGCACUCUGGGCCGGUACUGACGCUGAGGAGCGAAAGCGUGGGGAGCAAACAGGAUUAGAUACCCUGGUAGUCCACGCCGUAAACGUUGGGCACUAGGUGUGGGGAGCUGUCAACGCUCUCCGUGCCGUAGCUAACGCAUUAAGUGCCCCGCCUGGGGAGUACGGCCGCAAGGCUA
This 374-nucleotide ribosomal RNA is filed under the name uncultured organism. Its description in RNAcentral is "bacterial SSU rRNA". It matches the Rfam family "Bacterial small subunit ribosomal RNA", at positions 526 to 896 of the family's 1533-position model. The record is from RNAcentral.